CACUGGCUGGAUGGCCAAAUCACCCCUGACAGGCCAGAGCUUUUCAUGCGGCGCUGCGAGUGUUUGUGUGGCACACUGUACAAAAGAGCAGGGACACACAGGACCCUCUUCAGCACGUCAGGCUGCCCGCUGUUUGCUCAGACUGCCGAGGGGCUUCACGGGGCCGGAGGUCCGUCUGCCGUCGAUGAAUGCACGUCUGGAUCCCAACUGGAUGCUCAUCAACUCCACAAGGACAUCCUAACUUCAAACUGAAGCUCCUCUCCCGUCUGAGAAACUGAGGCAGCAGGAAUGAUCAUCAGACUGGGAAGACUGACACCGGGAUACUUCCGCCUCCUCCAGAGGCAGAUGUCGGGUGAGGUCCAGAUUCAGCCGCAGAGCAGCCUCAUUGAUCCCAUCGCCAUGACGAUGGCCGCGGUGGGGAUGGGAGUGUCUCUGUACAGCGCCAGGCGGAUGUCAGAGAGAGUCCAGCUGAAGCGGCCAAACGCCUGAGAGAUCUCACCUGUUCACCGGUUCAGUUUAUGCUGCGCGGGCGGUUCAUGCGACAUGUGUUUGUGAACGUCAGAGAAAGUCAGCGGAGGAGGAGUGUGUUUAUGUGUGUGGGUGUGUCUGUGUGGUGCUAGAAGGAAAAUCUAAGUGUCCCCGAAGGAAAAUGUGAGUCGGUCAUCAGCAUGUCACAUGUGUGAAGCUGCAUUAGAGUUUAGUUUUAAUUUAAAAAUGUGUAUAAUACAGAUGUAAUCCAAUUCAAUUUUAUUUAAAUAGAACCAAAUCACAACAACAGUCACCUCAAGGUGCUUUUUAUUGUGAGCUAAAAAUCCUACAAUAAUACAAGGAAAACAGAGAAAAGCCCAGCAAUGAUUAGACCCCCUAUGAACAAGUGCUUUGGUGACAGUGGGAAGGAAAAACUCCUUUUUAACAGGAAGAAACAUCCAGCAGAACUAAUGUAAGUAGAAAAUCUUACAAACGUAUUUUAUUCAUUAAUAUUAGUCACAAAUGCACCUUUCCGGGCAUUUCUUGUAGUUUGUAUAUAAAGCAUUGAGCAGCAUCACAUCUGAGGAUUUCUUCACUAAUCACACUAAGCAUCUUUGAAGCAUCUUCGAAUGACUUACUGAAGAAAAUGUCUGUAAAUGUAAGAUGCUAACUCAGAGAUAUCUACACUUAUUUGUGCGCCUAAUAAAAAUGCUCACAUUUUCUGA
This is a long non-coding RNA of Pelmatolapia mariae (spotted tilapia), 1193 nucleotides long. RefSeq lists it as uncharacterized. The transcript is spliced from 3 exons. The record is from RefSeq and is a predicted model, not a curated record. NCBI's taxonomy places the organism in Eukaryota, Metazoa, Chordata, Actinopteri, Cichliformes, Cichlidae.